Molecule: ribosomal RNA, 449 nt
Filed under: uncultured bacterium
Lineage: Bacteria
Description: bacterial SSU rRNA
Rfam family: Bacterial small subunit ribosomal RNA
Source: RNAcentral
AACGAACGCUGGCGGCAUGCCUAACACAUGCAAGUCGAACGAGACCUUCGGGUCUAGUGGCGCACGGGUGCGUAACGCGUGGGAAUAUGCCCUUAGGUACGGAAUAACACAGAGAAAUUUGUGCUAAUACCGUAUGAUGUCUUCGGACCAAAGAUUUAUCGCCUAGGGAUUAGCCCGCGUAGGAUUAGCUUGUUGGUGAGGUAAAGGCUCACCAAGGCGACGAUCCUUAGCUGGUCUGAGAGGAUGAUCAGCCACACUGGGACUGAGACACGGCCCAGACUCCUACGGGAGGCAGCAGUGGGGAAUAUUGGACAAUGGGCGAAAGCCUGAUCCAGCAAUGCCGCGUGAGUGAUGAAGGCCUUAGGGUUGUAAAGCUCUUUUACCCGAGAUGAUAAUGACAGUAUCGGGAGAAUAAGCUCCGGCUAACUCCGUGCCAGCAGCCGCGGUAA